AGUGAACGCUGGCGGUAGGCCUAACACAUGCAAGUCGAACGGCAGCACAGUAAGAGCUUGCUCUUACGGGUGGCGAGUGGCGGACGGGUGAGGAAUACAUCGGAAUCUACUUUUUCGUGGGGGAUAACGUAGGGAAACUUACGCUAAUACCGCAUACGACCUACGGGUGAAAGCAGGGGAUCUUCGGACCUUGCGCGAUUGAAUGAGCCGAUGUCGGAUUAGCUAGUUGGCGGGGGAAAGGCCCACCAAGGCGACGAUCCGUAGCUGGUCUGAGAGGAUGGUCGGCAAAAUUGGAACGGAGAACAGUGCCCGACCCCUACGGGGGGCAGCAGUGGGGAAUAUUGGACAAUGGGGGCAAGCCUGAUCCAGCCCUACCGCGUGGGUGAAGAAGGCCUUCGGGUUGUAAAGCCCUUUUGUUGGGAAAGAAAAGCAGCAGGUUAAUACCCCGCUGUUCUGACGGUACCCAAAGAAUAAGCACCGGCUAACUUCGUG
This 492-nucleotide ribosomal RNA is filed under the name uncultured bacterium. RNAcentral describes it as "partial 16S ribosomal RNA". It matches the Rfam family "Bacterial small subunit ribosomal RNA", at positions 29 to 507 of the family's 1533-position model. The record is from RNAcentral.